Long non-coding RNA from Ceratitis capitata (Mediterranean fruit fly), 2082 nucleotides. RefSeq lists it as uncharacterized. NCBI's taxonomy places the organism in Eukaryota, Metazoa, Arthropoda, Insecta, Diptera, Tephritidae. The record is from RefSeq and is a predicted model, not a curated record. The transcript is spliced from 3 exons.
UUAAAUUUCCCAUUACCAAAUCGCAAAGUGUCCGAUGCCUUUAAUACCAUUCCAUUUUUGAGAUCUUGAAUUGACGUUGGCCUUUUGGCCUAUACCUUCUUUUUUCCCGUGACCCCAAAGAAAAAAGUCGUAAGGUGUUACAUCAGAAGAUACCGGUGGUCAAUUACGAUCACCUCUUCGAGAGACAACACCGUCCGGAUCUUUUCCUUUAGAAGAUCGAUGGUUUCGUUGUGUGUUUGGCACGUAGCGUUGUCUUGUUGAAAGUAAACGUUCUCAAGAUCAAUACAAAACAAUGCCAUGAAAAAUAAUUAAUCAUCUCUCGAUACAGCAAUCCAUUCACCAUAACUGUUGCUCCAGCUUCAUUUUCGAAAAAGUAAAGUACAAUGACUCCACCGCGGCAAACGGUUACUCUUUGAGGAUAGAGGAGUAUUCCGAACCCCAGAUGCAACAGUUUUGCUUUUUGACUUUGCCAUUAAGGUGAAAAUAGGUCUCAUCAGUCAAGUUGAUUUUUCGAUGAAACUCCGCAUAAUUUUCAUGCAUUUCGAGAAACCCAUCUGCAAAGGCUCGACGUUGUUGAUAAUCAGCCAGCUUGGUUCUUGUGUUAACUGAACUUAAUAAGCCUUAAGAUCCAAGUCUUUAUACAAAAUACGGUGUAAUGAUAUUUGUGGAAUGCCCAAUUCCAAAGAACGACGAGGAGUGGUCAAUUCUGGGGGGUUUCUUCUAUACUGUGUACUACUGCAGCAAUAUUCUGAGUUGUUCUUGAGUGGCGUGCACAUGUUUUAUUCUUCAAAUCUUCACAACUUGUCUCAACAGCUCUGUUUUUUACACCAAUUUUUUUACUGCGGUACAACAAGGUGCUCCACGACGACCGAAAAAUGUUUUUGGCUUUUUGGCAUUCAUCAUUUUUAUAGUGAGUUUUUAAUAACUUCAGGGCAUUGUAUCAGAUCGUGUAUUCUGCCAUUUAUGUUAUUGUCGUAGCUUUUACUUUUCAAACGUAAAAAAAAUACAGCUUCAAAAGUAACAUUUACCGGAAUAUCACUUUUUAUUAGAAACCCCUUUAUUUUAAACGAGAAUCUGCAAAUUCUUUGAAUAUACCGGGACCUGUGUUCAUUUCUUGGAAGCAGAAGUCUUCACUAGGUCAAAUCAGGAGGAAGUUUACUGUUUGGUUUGGUGGUUGAUGGGCAGUAAGAAUUGUUACUGAAUUUUACUGAAUCGCGUUUGAGCUUAGCGCGUUUGUAAAUUUUACAUUUUUAAGGACAUUUCUCAUCGAACAGAGUAUUUGCAUCCUGCUCCGCUUCGCUGUGGCUAAAUAUUCAUUGAAUAUUAACCCUGGGCUCCACUGAUAGUGAUCGCAAGCACCAGUCGAACAUGGAACUGCUGUCGCUUGAAUUGAACGGGAGUAUCGGACGGAAUGACAGCGAUUCGAGGAAUGAGGACGUCUUCACCUAUGAAAGUUUCGGUUGUUUAAUAUUACGUCAUUAUGAUGAUUUUUAAAUUCAAUAUGCGCAGUUGAUCUCCGUUAAGUCCAAAAUAUUAAAAAACUUUGUUGAAUCAUUAACUGCAUCAGUUUGACUUUUAUGUGUCGGACUCGCCUCCAAUGCCUGCCUAAAUAGUCUGGUUGAGAUCAUAAACAUCUUUGUUUUCCGCAGCGUGGUUGAAUCGUUCAUACUACCAUUCCUGAUCGCUAUAAUUGAUUUGGAUAAUUGGAAAUUCUUUGUGAAUCAAUUAUUCUUUUGACGUCAAAUGACGAAUUUGCAAAAGUGAUCGUGAAAGUACGUGGCCGAUGGAUCAUUUUGAAGGACUAAAAGUGACUUCGGCGAUUUUUAGAAUGUCUGAUUUAAUUGAGCAAAGAAGUGCGAUCAAAUUUCAUUCAGCUGCUGAAACUUUGAGUUCCUACAAAAAGCUUUUGGGGACUCAACUAUGCCAUAGAAGAACGUGUAUAAGUGAUACAAAGAAUUCAAAGAGGUCGGAAAUGUGUUGAUGACAAGGAGCGCUCGGGACGAGCAUCAACGUCAACUGAUGUGCAACACGUCAAUGAAAUUAAGGAAUUAGUGCUCAAAAAUCGUCGAUUGGCUGUUAGAG